CCUUGGCAGGUUGGCCUGCAGCCUCGGGCUGCCAUCGUCCUUGCCUGUGAGCAAGCAUGCAUGUUCACCUUGGGGCCAGGCGCACCUGCCUGCUCCUCCUGGCUGCCGUCUCGGAAUCUCCACACUUGGAGGGCUCUCCCACUUGCCAGGCCUCUCCAGCUGCCUCCCUAGUGCCCAGAGCUGGGACGUUAGCUGGAAGAGGAGGCUUAGACUUUGGCUGAAAGCAGCAGAAGGAGCCAUGCAACAGGAGGAGCUGCUUCUGGAAGGAGCAGCAGCCCUGGCCACAUAGCCCCUGCUGAGCACAGUGAGUUCCUGCCUGCCAAGAGGUAAGGGUGGUCUGCUGCGCCUUU
RNAcentral lists this long non-coding RNA (350 nucleotides) under Marmota monax (woodchuck). The record is from RNAcentral. Lineage: Eukaryota; Metazoa; Chordata; Mammalia; Rodentia; Sciuridae.